This 164-nucleotide ribosomal RNA is filed under the name Strobilanthes stenodon. Its description in RNAcentral is "5.8S ribosomal RNA". It matches the Rfam family "5.8S ribosomal RNA". Rfam says of the family: 5.8S ribosomal RNA (5.8S rRNA) is a component of the large subunit of the eukaryotic ribosome. Lineage: Eukaryota; Viridiplantae; Streptophyta; Magnoliopsida; Lamiales; Acanthaceae. The record is from RNAcentral.
AAACGACUCUCGGCAACGGAUAUCUCGGCUCUCGCAUCGAUGAAGAACGUAGCGAAAUGCGAUACUUGGUGUGAAUUGCAGAAUCCCGUGAACCAUCGAGUCUUUGAACGCAAGUUGCGCCCGAAGCCUUUGGGCCGAGGGCACGCCUGCCUGGGCGUCACGCA